AAACUUUCAACAACGGAUCUCUUGGUUCUGGCAUCGAUGAAGAACGCAGCGAAAUGCGAUAAGUAAUGUGAAUUGCAGAAUUCAGUGAAUCAUCGAAUCUUUGAACGCACAUUGCGCCCCUCGGUAUUCCGAGAGGCAUGCCUGUUCGAGCGUCAUUA
RNAcentral lists this ribosomal RNA (158 nucleotides) under Cyclohymenia epilithica. Its description in RNAcentral is "5.8S ribosomal RNA". It matches the Rfam family "5.8S ribosomal RNA". From Rfam's summary of the family: 5.8S ribosomal RNA (5.8S rRNA) is a component of the large subunit of the eukaryotic ribosome. The record is from RNAcentral. Lineage: Eukaryota; Fungi; Ascomycota; Lecanoromycetes; Lecideales; Lecideaceae.